CUGCAACCCGCCUGCGUGAAGUUGGAAUCGCUAGUAAUCGCGGAUCAGCAUGCCGCGGUGAAUACGUUCCCGGGCCUUGUACACACCGCCCGUCACACCAUGAGAGUCGGGAACACCCGAAGUCCGUAGCCUAACCGCAAGGGGGGCGCGGCCGAAGGUGGGUUCGAUAAUUGGGGUGAAGUCGUAACAAGGUAAC
This 196-nucleotide ribosomal RNA is filed under the name uncultured bacterium. RNAcentral's name for it is "partial 16S ribosomal RNA". It matches the Rfam family "Bacterial small subunit ribosomal RNA", at positions 1305 to 1500 of the family's 1533-position model. The record is from RNAcentral.